AUGGCAGGUGAAGCACCACCUUUACUAUUACUAGCAACCAUCCAGGAAGACGAUGAGCUAGCGAGCAAAUCAAUGAAGAGCGGAGGAGUAGAAAGCAGCAGGUGCGAGGUGGAGGCCAUGGGCAUCAACUACCACAUCGCCGUCUCCGCCCGGCCUCUCCCGCUCAGCUCAAGAUAUGGAGCAGGCUCGACGACCUCCUCCUCGACGCCGCCGGCGACCCUGCUGUCAGGCGGCCGCCGCCGGUGA
RNAcentral lists this ribosomal RNA (246 nucleotides) under Triticum aestivum (bread wheat). RNAcentral describes it as "partial small subunit ribosomal RNA". The record is from RNAcentral. Lineage: Eukaryota; Viridiplantae; Streptophyta; Magnoliopsida; Poales; Poaceae.